AGUUUGAUCCUGGCUCAGGACGAACGCUGGCGGCGUGCCUAAUACAUGCAAGUCGAACGCUUCUUUUUCCACCGGAGCUUGCUCCACCGGAAAAAGAGGAGUGGCGAACGGGUGAGUAACACGUGGGUAACCUGCCCAUCAGAAGGGGAUAACACUUGGAAACAGGUGCUAAUACCGUAUAACAAUCRAAACCGCAUGGUUUUGAUUUGAAAGGCGCUUUCGGGUGUCGCUGAUGGAUGGACCCGCGGUGCAUUAGCUAGUUGGUGAGGUAACGGCUCACCAAGGCCACGAUGCAUAGCCGACCUGAGAGGGUGAUCGGCCACAUUGGGACUGAGACACGGCCCAAACUCCUACGGGAGGCAGCAGUAGGGAAUCUUCGGCAAUGGACGAAAGUCUGACCGAGCAACGCCGCGUGAGUGAAGAAGGUUUUCGGAUCGUAAAACUCUGUUGUUAGAGAAGAACAAGGAUGAGAGUAACUGUUCAUCCCUUGACGGUAUCUAACCAGAAAGCCACGGCUAACUACGUGCCAGCAGCCGCGGUAAUACGUAGGUGGCAAGCGUUGUCCGGAUUUAUUGGGCGUAAAGCGAGCGCAGGCGGUUUCUUAAGUCUGAUGUGAAAGCCCCCGGCUCAACCGGGGAGGGUCAUUGGAAACUGGGAGACUUGAGUGCAGAAGAGGAGAGUGGAAUUCCAUGUGUAGCGGUGAAAUGCGUAGAUAUAUGGAGGAACACCAGUGGCGAAGGCGGCUCUCUGGUCUGUAACUGACGCUGAGGCUCGAAAGCGUGGGGAGCAAACAGGAUUAGAUACCCUGGUAGUCC
Molecule: ribosomal RNA, 815 nt
Filed under: Enterococcus faecium
Lineage: Bacteria; Bacillati; Bacillota; Bacilli; Lactobacillales; Enterococcaceae
Description: bacterial SSU rRNA
Rfam family: Bacterial small subunit ribosomal RNA
Source: RNAcentral